Molecule: ribosomal RNA, 273 nt
Filed under: uncultured bacterium
Lineage: Bacteria
Description: partial 16S ribosomal RNA
Rfam family: Bacterial small subunit ribosomal RNA
Source: RNAcentral
CCGCCGGCGACCGGCGCACGGGUGAGUAACACGUAUGAAACCUGCCCGUAGCAGGGGGAUAAGCGGAAGAAAUUCCGUCUAAUACCGCGUAACAACCCAUGGAGGCAUCUCUGUGGGUUUAAAGGAAGCGAUUCCGGCUACGGAUGGUCAUGCGUCGCAUUAGCUUGUUGGCGGGGUAACGGCCCACCAAGGCGACGAUGCGUAGGGGUUCUGAGAGGAAGGUCCCCCACACUGGUACUGAGACACGGACCAGACUCCUACGGGAGGCAGCAG